Molecule: long non-coding RNA, 10704 nt
Filed under: Mytilus galloprovincialis (Mediterranean mussel)
Lineage: Eukaryota; Metazoa; Mollusca; Bivalvia; Mytilida; Mytilidae
Source: RNAcentral
AGAAAAUGUAUAGUUGAAACUCAUAAAGAAUGCCUGGAUAUCGAUAAUUUAGAAGACGUCAUUCAAAAUGUAAAAACCUCAAAUGCCUUCCACGAUAUUGAAGAAACAUUGGUUGAAGUAGCAGAAAAUUUAAAGAAAAUCAGUCAACAUCAGCAGAAGAAUCUGUUGAAUUUGAAAGAAAAAAGAAAACAAAUUGAAAAAGAAAUUCAAAAGACCCGUAAAACAAUCAACAACCAUCUGGACAAAUUACAAGGAGAUUUGAUAAAACAACUUAAUUCUAUUGAAGAAACCCAGAACUCGAAAAUUUGUCAGUUGUUGUCAUCACUUGAACAGAGAGAAAAAGAAAUAACCAAAUACCAGCAAAACCUUGCAAGCAUUAAACAACACGCCUCAGACCUUCAGAUUUUUCUUUCACUUAAGCAAAUCGAACAAGACAUUAAUAUAAAUGAUAAAUUCCUACAAUCCGUAGUGGAAGGUGAGGAAUUGAAGCAAUGUCAUCUAGAAUAUAGAACCAACAUUGCUAUUCAAGAUAUCAUGUCCAAUAUCAAAAGUUUUGGAGAAGUACAGAUUGAAACUAAACCAUGUGACAUCGUUCUUAGCAGGAAGAAGACUAAACAAGCACAGAUAAUGGUACCAAACGUUCAAACAAGAUCCAUUGAGAAUAUAAAGCUGGAGAUGCACAAAACAGCAGUAGCAACUGAAGGAAGAUACGUCUACGGGUGUUGCCUGAUACCAGAUGGUAGAAUGGCUUUUACUUACUACUAUGAUUGUGCGUGUUAGAGUUUUCAGUGAUAAAGGAUCAAAAGACUUUGAGGUGAAGAUGCCGUGUAAGUAUACGAUAUACUGUAUAUUAGUAAGGACGAUACAUUAGCCGUAACAUCUGGUGGUUCAAGUCAGCAUUGUAUUUUUAUUAUAAACGUGGAAAGAAAACAAAUCACGAGAACAAUUUCACUAGAUUCGGAAAUUUAUGGCAAAGCACUUAGAGAAAAUAUUUUAAUAUAUUCCGGUUAUAACAAAGGAAUCCGAAUGAUCAAUCUUGACGACGAGUCAAUUACUUAAAUAGUUCAAGAUAAAAUGCCAAGAUGCUGUUACAAUGCAAGAUUUCGGAACCAAAUCUAUCACACAAACUCAUACACACAAGCCGUUACUUGUUACGACCAACAAGGUAAACCACAAUGGACAUUCAAAAAUAUAAGCCUUCUGAAGUAUCCUCGUAUUGAUGUAGAUAUUGAUGGUAAUGUGUAUGUGGUAGGGAUGGAUUCGAACAAUGUUGUAGUUAUCUCCCCUGACGGACAACGCCAUAGACAAGUAUGAGCAGCAAGUGAUGGUCUUGAUUCUCCUUAUUCAGUUUGUUUUGACAAUUCAAACAAGCAGUUGCUAGUGACUAACUAUGAAAAUGAGGCACACUUAUAUGCAUUCAUUUGAAAAGAUUUUGGAUAAGCUAUUGUUUAUCAAUUUUGUAUCACAGCUAAACAUUUUCCGAUGAAAUGAUUUGUUUCAUAGACAUUAAUAAUGUUAUGGAAUAUUUUGAUUUUUUAAAUAUGUUUUUGUGAGAUUUUUUAUAAACAAAAUACAUCAAAUAGAACGAUUUUACACGAUCCAUUUUUUGAAAAAGUGUUUAUUUAUAAUUGACAAAGUUGCAAAAUAUUCAGGAUUCGGAAUUUUGUUAAAGAUCUUUUAAAUUUUUAACCUUAUUUGGGCAAGAGAUAUGUUUCCAUAAUGAAAAAUAUCAAUAUUAGCUUAUUAAUGUGUUAAAACUAUAUUUGGAGAUUAAACUUGCAUAUCUUACAUCAGUGUUAUAAUUUACAUUAUGUUAACGAAUUUUUUGUGUUGACAUAUGCACUGUAUGUUCUGAUCAGAAAGUGCAAAAAGAAUUUUGCCCUUUUCCAUUGAUUAUUGUAAAAAAAAUAUCUGAAAAUUUCAACGUCGAAGAAAGGUAUCUGAUUCAUCAAUUUUCAUUCUACAAUCAUUGCAAAAAGUAUGAUACAUAGCAAUCUAUUUAACCUUCUUAUUUAAAGUACCACAGGAAAUGGUUCGUUGGUUAGGUAAAGAGAAGUUUUACAUUCAUAAUCAAUAUUGUGCGCUUGAUUUAUAUAAACCACGUUCAGCUUACUAUACGGUGAAUGUUGUACUCAUAUCUGAAAACCACAGGUUUCCACGUACCUGUUAAUAUAACUGUUUCUUUUGUCUCUGAUAGAAUGCAGUGUCAUUGGCUACUACUUACCCAUUAAUUUCACAUUCAUAACGUUUAAAUAUAAUCAUAAACAUAAUGAAAUGAAAUAUGAUAACCAAUGAAAUAAUUAUUCCCCAGACACCAAAUAACAUGGAUGUUAGAAACUAUACUAAUCACCCUGCUCAUUUAAACAGUGAACACACCGUAUAGUCAGCUAUGAAGGCAGGGAAAUGACAUAAUGUUAACCAAGAAAACCAAUAGUCCGGCCGAUUGGUGCAGAUAGAUAGCAGAAUUGCUCACUUGAUGAGGAAAGCAUGAAACUUUGCAUAGUAGUUUUUGGUUAUGUACCAUUUGAUUUUAGCUAUGGACCCACUCUGAAAAAUCCAAUAUGGCUGCCAUUUUCAAGAUUGCGGAAAAACGGUAUAAAUAUCAAGAUUGUCCUAAAGGUAUUCUAUAUAAUUUUGGAAAUUAAAGUAAUGAUUCUUUAAAAAUGGACUUCAUAUUUUUGAAUUUGUUAUCAAUUAAUUUUAAAAUAUAAAAACAAAAUAAUAAGGUUAUUUCUAUAACACAUACAUUUGCAAAUAUGGCUGCAUAUACUAAAACAAAUAGUGAAAUUCAAAAUGUUAAUCAAUAUUUUACAGGUUAUUGUAAUUGUUCUUUAAACGCUUUCAGUUUUAAUGGUUGGAAUGAAAUAGGUUGAAACUAGUCGAUUGAACGUAAAUAUAGGUCGGUUAAAUGUGGUUGAAUAGUAGGUAACUCAUCUGAAUUUUUAGGUAGUGCCGAGGGCACCUGAAUCGUGUCUCUUCAAUGCCACGUCUUACGUCUCUUAUCGCGUUUUCAUCUACAUCGUAAAACUAUUCUAUGUAAUCAAUAGGUGUACCUUUCUUCAGGCGGAUUAGACGAUUGCCACCAUUUAAAAUGGUUAAGGGGCAACCAUUUCCUUUCCAACUACGUGCGAAACAAAUUUGCAAUUAUUCAGCGAUCAUGGUCCUACAUUGCACUCCUGGUCAGCGCUUUUAUUAGUUUUAAUGGUAACAGUUAUUUUUGAGAUUAGCGGAACUGUGAUGGUUCGUUUUAUGCAAACUUGCUGAGUUGAAAUCUCGUUUCUACUGUUAACAAAUGCCGCAUUUAUCACUUUAGUGUUGAUGGUAAUUGUGGGAGUACUCAGGUUUAUCACUGCAUUCAGUGUGUCCAGAAUAUCUAGCCUAAGUAUAACAUCGUCUGUUAAUGGCUCUUUGCACACAUCCCAUUGUAUGUUUACUCUAUUAAUUCCCAAUAACAAGCUGUUAACCCAAACCACGUAGCGUUACUUUGUCCAAAUCUCCAUUUUCUGCAAGUAUUAAUUUCUCAUUUACUAAUGUUAUCAUUGCAGCACUGUCCACAAUCAUGCUCACAUUCUUGUCAUGUAUAGUACCUCGUACUGCUAAGCUCAUUCAAAUGGUUUGUCUGAUGACAAUAUCGGACGAGGCCGUGGGCCUCUGUUCGAUUUUGUAAUGAGGUGAUGUUUUAUGGCCAAUAGACUUUAGAAUCGUGCGUUGGCCUACUGGCCCGAUCCUUCGCUGUUUAAAGACUCCAUUGUUGGGGUUGCGCUUUGAUAUGGUCCGUAUCCUGGUGAAGGUGACCGUUGUCUGAAAUAACCGGGAUUUCUGCAGUUUGUCCGUGAAGAUGAUAACCGUUGUCUUUAUAGACUAUAUGAUAUCUAGCUUAGUGGGAAGGGGGUGCGAUCGAUGGAUAUUAAGCUAGGAUGUAUUUCUAUCUGGCGAUCUACCGCGAUUGUAUUGCUCAGAAGAUCUUUCACGUGUUUAUUGAUCAGGUGAUCUUCCAUUGAACUGGUGAUCUUCCAUGAUUAUUUGAUAAGAAGAACCGAGGUUAUAUAUUAAUCGGCCAAUCCACGGUUAUGCUGAUUAGUUGAAAGCAUAAUAUCAGCUAGUUUUGUGACAAUUUAUGUCAGGCUAUGCACCUCAUUAUCCAAAUGACUGCUUAUAUUUCCUUUAUCGGUCGGUGAUACUGCGUCAUCAGCAAAGUAGACUUGUCGAUGGUCAUAAUUGGAACUUUUUGAUCCAUAUAUCGCCAUAUGGUUUGCUAUUGAGGUUUUCAAUUGUUUGGACGCCUUGUUUAAUGUUCCUGGGUUCCUGUCUAUUACAUGCCUUGCAGAAUCUUUGUCUUUACAUCCUCGACGGAAUGCUUCAGUUCCAAUCUGGUUUGAUCGUCUUUCUUGUCGAAGCGCUGCUACACAUAUUUUUUCUGUUUUCCCAUUUUCAUUUACCGGCAGUUCGUUCAAAUUGGUAAAUAAACGACUCCCAAGUCAUGGAUCCUCUUCAAUUAUGUUUUUGCAUUUUUGGAAGCUGUAGGCUUCGGCUUCGGUCCCAUGCACCAAUAUUUUCUUGCCAUCGGGUAUAUUCUCUCUCCAAUGAGGAGUCGGAAGAAGAGGUGUUUUCACACUCUUUUAGUUUCCUCUGCCCAUUCCUGGAUCGGUCAGUGGAGUCAGCUUGCUGUUAUGUGAAGCCUGUUAGAGCUCCAGGACCUGACGAGGUUGUCAUAAUUGGAGUGUUAAAUGUGGGAUUUACCAUUGACUCGACGGGGAUGAUACCGUAAGUAGGCACUGCAUUCAGCAUUGGAGAAACUUGAUAGAAUCAACUUGAAGCCAAUUGUUUCUGUAAUGGUGUGCGUAAGAAGACACAAGCCUUUUUCUAGUAUCCUUGAUAAGUAAUAGAGGUUUAUAGUAUGUUCUUAAAUGGAGAUUUUUGUUGAAUAAUUUGAACUGUCUCAUGCAGGGCCAAGGACCUUGACAUAGGACUUUUGACUUAAGGUGAAGAAACCUUCAAUCCACUAGCCCAGUAGUCAGCACUUCGGUGUUGACAUGAAUAUCAAUUAUGUGGUUAUUUUUAUAAAUUUUCCGUUUACAAAACUUUGAUUUUAUCGAAAAACUAAGGAUUUUCUUAUCCAAGGAAUAGAUUACUUUAGCCGUAUUUGAUACAACUUUUUGGAAUUUUGGAUUCUCAUGGCUCUUCAACUUCGUACGUGUUUGGCUUGAUACAUAUUUUGAUAUGACCGUCACUGAUGAAUCUUAUGUAGACGAAACGCGCGUCUGGCGUACAAAAUUAUAAUCCUGGUACCUUUGAUAACUACUAACAACUUCAACAGAGUUGGUGCGGUUGAUGGUUCAUGUGAACUACAAUAAGGGAAAAACCAAACGCAUGGAUUUUGUUGUGUAUUUUUGGUAAACUUGCGUUGUACUGGCUAAGGUCAAAUUUUGGCUUAGAUGAUGUGUCCAUUGCAGGAAGUUUAACUUCUUUAUUUCGAUUGUCCACUUAUUCAUUUACAACCGAUGCCAGUUGUUGGAAAGUAUCCUGUUGUUCAAAUGCACUUUUAAAUUGAACUGUGUCUCUUUCUUCAGUUGUUGUCCAUUCGUCUCACCGCAACAUUGAAUAUCUUAUUGGUAUGGCCAUCAAUUCCGCCAGGCAAUUAUUACUAGCCUUGUGGUCUAACCUGUCUUAAGACUGCUGAAUUUGCUGAGAUAUUGCUCUCAUCUGUUCGUAAUUAAUAUUUAUUGCUUCUUUCUGUUCAGCUUGAAACGUAAUGAGACCAACACAUAUUUUAUCAAUUCGCACUUCGCUCUGUUUUAUAUUGCAGUAAAUCUCAGCUGUUCUUUGAGCAUUAGAUUUACUAUCUGCUAGAAAUUCUUAGUAUAAUUGUUUAAUAGUCAUUUCUGAGCUGUCUUCUGUUAAAGCGUCUUCAGCUGUGGGUUUCGCCAUAUCCCAAAGUGAUUCAGUUUCUGCCAUUUCAAUGUUCUUGUCCUUGUUGUCGUCAAUUCCUGCCAUUUCACUGAUAUGUGUUUAAAUGAUUCUCAAUUCAGUUUAAUAUCUCAAAUUGCAAAAUAUUGCGACCCAGAAAUACGAUAGGCACUGCAUAAUAUCUUAACGCAAAUAAAUCCCAAAUCACAGCUUUUAUGUGUGACCCAAGAUAACAAAUAGUGCAACUUUUAAUGAAAGCUACUACUGCAGCCUUUUAUGAAAGCUACUACUGCAGCUUUUUAUGAAAGCUACUACUUUGUGUAUGAAAUGAAAAGCAAGGCAAAAUCAAAAAGGACAGAACUGGGACAUAUACUAAAUGACACUAUACGUCAAUAAAAUGCUUAUAUUCAGGUCAAUUCUCAAUAAUGAAUAUUUGCUUAUUUUUCAAGGCGGCUAUUUUGAAAAUAGCCGCCAUUUUGUAUUUCAAAGAUAGAUCAAAACAAAAUCUUUCUAAGAAUACCAAGUCAUUCAAAUAUGUUGAUUUUAGUGCGUUCAGCAUCAAAUCCACUGUGGUUUGUGCAAUACUAUAAAAUAUUUUAGAACGUACGGCAGCCAUCUUGAAAUAAGCCGCCAUAUUGAAUUUUGAGGGUGGGUCCAUAGCUUAUACUGCUCAGUCCAAAAAAAUGUGCCAUCAUGCAAAAAUUGGUGCUUUCCUCAUUAUUUGAGCAAUUUUUUCACCGAUCAGCCGGACUACAACGGUCUUCUGAAAGGUAAAAUAAUAAACGAAAAACAAAUAUGUUACACCAACCAACGACAACCACAAAUAAAUAGAGGCUACUGAUUAUUGACAGGUACAUAAAAAAAAUGUGACAGGAAUACUUUGUUAGCGUUCAAUUGUUCCCUAUCAGCGGUGGAACAGCACGUGUGACUCAACUUUAAAGAUGAUAGACUCUUUAAGAAAACAAUGACAAUAAAACAAGAAAACACAAACUUUAAAAUACAUUUUAUAUAUUUUAUCACCAUACUGAAUAUUAUUUGCUGUUGGGUCAAAAAAUAAAUCCAAAGAACGAUGCCUGUGAUUCCAGCUCAUAAGGAACAUACUUCAAUAGUUUUAUCUUUCAUAACAUGCCAUAUGCCAUAAUUAGCAUGAGAUAAACACAAUGAAGUCCAAAAAAUGUCUAUCCAGACUGAGAUUUGUCCAUACUUGUUUUGGAAUAAAACAUAUUACAAGUAUUAGAUUAUUAAACCAUUACAAAACACAGUGUUUUUUCCCAAGUCAACAUAUUUAAAACAGCUUAGAUUAACGAAUUUUGUAAAGAGUUUUCCCUUCAGUGAAGACAUUCAAUAUAUCAGUAUCUGUAUUUAACUAAAUUUAACUAGUAAAACAAAUAUGAGACUUUCUUGAUUUUCAAUGCUGACAAAACAUUAUACAGCGCACAUAAACGAAAAACAAGGGCUCUCAAAAAUAGAAUAAAAUAACUUUUUCAACACAUUUAUUUAAAACUCUAAAGUAUUAGAUCACUUACACAAUUCGUUUGUAAAAUAUAAAUGCUAUAUGUGCUCUUAUAUCAUAAAGUUUGGUUUGUAUAAUAAGACAAAAAGAGAUGAUAUUGUAAUUGAUUAUAUUUAUAAUUAAAUGCAAAUUUAAAUAUUCCCGCCAGAUAAAAGUUUUUAUAACGAUCACGUGACCAAUUACCAUCCUAGUUGAAAUACCAUCCGGUGCGUAUUUACUAAGGUAACAAACAUAUUUUCUUAAUGUGUAUAUGAAUAAUUAUGCAAGCAAAUGCAAGUAGACAUUUAAAAUGAUUUAUUUGUAAAUAUUGACAGGCCUACAUGUACGUAUUUACCUUUGAAAAUAUCUACUUUCGUUUAAUGUCAGCUAGCUGUGUUGUUAUGUAUUUAUUUUGUUUUUCUGUCGUAUUUGGGAUACAAUUGAAAAAAUGACAUACUUUUGUGUCGUUUUACAUUUGGUCAUGUUGGUUCUAUUGUAGAUUACUUCAUGAUAUGGAUUUUUACAUUGUUGCAUACAAUACGAUGACGCGUAUGUCAUGUGAUAUCUUGUGGAUCAAUAAUAACUUCAUAUUUUUGUUUUUAUUUUUACAUUGAUAGUUUCUUUGUUUAUGUCUUAUUCAAGUGACAAUUUUUAUUUUUGUUUGUCGUUAAAAAGAUAUCUUCACCAGGAACACUGGAAGCUAGUAAGUGUAAAUGUACAUAAACAAGUACGAGAAAUAUGGUUCAAAGGGACAUAAUUAAGCCAAAUCCAUCAAAUAUAUUAUGGGCCAUAUAAUAUUCGAGUUUGGCAUCUUAUAGUCAUUAUGAUUUAGAAAGAAGGUAUGAACGAAGUUGACAUUGCAACAAUUAUUAUAAUUAUUCCAGACUAUGAAAACAAUGUUGAUUAAAUAAAUAAAUGAACAGGUUAAUAUAAGCUGGACACUUAAGUGCAGAAAGGAUCCUCUGGUUUUAUAAAUACUUCAACUUAUUAAACAAAUGCACUUUACAUAUUUAUGAUAUAGUUCUUGAAAAACAUAUGUGAACAAAGGAUUUAUACAAAAAUAUGUUUUACACAAAUUAACAUUUUAUUUAAUACAAUUUGUUACAAAAAUCAUUUUGGUAGAUGUCCCUGUUCCACUCUAAAUACUUUGGAAAAUAUCUCUACAAACUAUAGACUGUUUCAGGAUUUUUAAAGAUUGUUUUUAACAAAGAAGUUUACAACCUGAUAACAAUGCAAAUAGGUCAGACAGAAUACAAAACUAUCAUUACUAAUAAGUAUAAGCCAAAUGUCUAACAAACAAUUGUUGCAUGCUAUUUACUACAUGUAGGUUUUAAUUACUUUUUUAUUUUCAAGUUCAAGUGCACAAAAUGUUACCGCCUCCUUUAUCUACAUAUUGACAAAUAUUUUCAACAAAACAAAAUAAUUUGGGAACUUGUAUAUCUUUAAAAAAAGUUAUAUUGUAGACCGGGGAAGUUCUUCUGAACAAUAGCCUUAAUUAUAUUUGAUUUGAUAUUAUCUUGCAGUUUUGUGAUAUGGCCUCAUCCUCCCAAAGUUGUGGUGUGUGUGACCUCCGACACAAACAACAACCAUCAUAAUCUGGUGUACGGAAUGUGAUGAAGGACUUUGUCAAGAUUGUCAGGAACACCAUAGUUUAUCCAAGGGAACCAGAAACCAUAACACCAUAACAAUAAAGGAAUAUAAAACAUUACCAAGUGAAGUACUUAAAAUCUCUCAAUACUGUAGCACACACAAUGACAAAUUUAUAAUGUAUUGCCGGAAACACGAACGUCCCUGCUGCAGAAACUGUAUAGUGGAAACUCAUAAAGAAUGCCCGGAUAUCGAUAAAUUAGAAGACGUCAUUCAAAAUGUAAAAACCUCAAAUGCCUUCGACGAUAUUGAAGAAACAUUGGUUGAAGUAGCAGAAAAUUUAAAGAAAAUCAGUCAACACCAGCAGAAGAAUCUGUUGAAUUUAAAAGAAAAAAGAAAACAAAUUGAAAAAGAAAUUCAAAAGACCCGUACAACAAUCAACAACCUUCUGGAAAAAUUACAAGGAGAUUUGAUAAAACAACUUUAUUCUAUUGAAGAAACCCAGAACUCGAAAAUGUGUCAGUUGUUGUCAUCACUUGAACAGAGAGAAAAAGAAAUAACCAAAUACCAGCAAAACCUUGCAAGCAUUAAACAACACGCCUCAGACCUUCAGAUUUUUCUUUCACUUAAGCAAAUCGAACAAGACAUUAAUAUAAAUGAUAAAUUCCUACAAUCCGUAGUGGAAGGUGGGCAAAUGAAGCAAUCUCAUCUAGAAUAUAGAGCCAACAUGGCUAUUCAAGACUUCAUGUCAAAUAUCAAAAGUUUUGGAGAAGUACAUAUCGAAAGUAAGCCAUGUGACAUCGUUCUUAGCAGGAAGAAGACCAAACAAGCACAGAUAAUGGUACCAACCGUUCAAACAAGAUUCAUUGAGAACAUAAAACUGAAGAAAAACAAGACAAUAACAACUGAAGGACAAAGCGUCUACGGGUGUUGCAUAAUACCAGAUGGUAGAAUGGCGUUUACUUAUUUCUUUGAUUUGGCAGUUAGAGUAUUCAGUGAUACAGGAACAAAAGACUUUGAGGUGAAGAUGCCGUAUUACGUAUACGAUAUACUGUAUAUUAGUAAGGACAAUACAUUAGCCGUAACAUCUGGUGGUUCAAGUCAGCAUUGUAUUUUUAUUAUAAACGUGGAAAGAAAACAAAUCACGAAAACAAUUACACUCGACUCGUAUAUUUAUGGCAUAGCACUUAGAGAAAAUAAUUUAAUAUAUACUAGGAAAAUAUUUAAUACAUUACGGUUAUAACAAAGGAAUCCGAAUGAUCAAUCUUUCCGAUGAGUCAAUUACUCAAAUAGUCCAAGAUAAAAUGCCAGAUUGUUGUUACAUUGCAACAUUUCGGAACCAAAUAUAUCACACAAACUCGGAAACACAUGCCGUUACUUGUUACGAUCAACAAGGUAAACCACAAUGGACAUUCAAAAAUGGCAGCGUUCUGAAGAAUCCUCGUGGUAUUGAUGUAGAUAUUGAUGGUAAUGUGUACGUGGCGGGGUUCAAGUCGAACAAUGUUGUAGUUAUCUCCUUUGAUGGACAACGCUAUAGAGAAGUGUUAGCAGCAAGUGAUGGGCUUGAUCUUCCUAUUUCACUUUGUUUUAACAAUUCAAAGCAGCAGUUGCUAGUGACUAACUGGAAUAAUGAGGCCCGGCUGUAUGCUUUGAUUUGAAAAGAUUUUUUAAUUAUGUAUUAUCUUUAAUUUUGUAUCGUCACAGCUACACAUUUUUCG